RNAcentral lists this ribosomal RNA (468 nucleotides) under uncultured bacterium. Its description in RNAcentral is "partial 16S ribosomal RNA". It matches the Rfam family "Bacterial small subunit ribosomal RNA", at positions 28 to 507 of the family's 1533-position model. The record is from RNAcentral.
GACGAACGCUGGCGGCGUGCUUAACACAUGCAAGUCGAACGGAAAGGCCCUGCUUUUGUGGGGUGCUCGAGCGGCGAACGGGUGAGUAACACGUGAGUAACCUGCCCUUGACUUUGGGAUAACUUCAGGAAACUGGGGCUAAUACCGGAUAGGAGCUCCUGCUGCAUGGUGGGGGUUGGAAAGUUUCGGCGGUUGGGGAUGGACUCGCGGCUUAUCAGCUUGUUGGUGGGGUAGUGGCUUACCAAGGCUUUGACGGGUAGCCGGCCUGAGAGGGUGACCGGCCACAUUGGGACUGAGAUACGGCCCAGACUCCUACGGGAGGCAGCAGUGGGGAAUAUUGCACAAUGGGCGGAAGCCUGAUGCAGCAACGCCGCGUGCGGGAUGACGGCCUUCGGGUUGUAAACCGCUUUCGCCUGUGACGAAGCGUGAGUGACGGUAAUGGGUAAAGAAGCACCGGCUAUCUACGUG